UACAUAGGGGCUGGUCGGAUGAGA
RNAcentral lists this non-coding RNA (24 nucleotides) under Rattus norvegicus (Norway rat). The record is from RNAcentral. Lineage: Eukaryota; Metazoa; Chordata; Mammalia; Rodentia; Muridae.